Molecule: ribosomal RNA, 104 nt
Filed under: Diaphorina citri (Asian citrus psyllid)
Lineage: Eukaryota; Metazoa; Arthropoda; Insecta; Hemiptera; Psyllidae
Source: RNAcentral
GCCAGUGUGAUAGCACAAUGAAUGCAUCAGUUUACCAUGGGAUCACUGAAGUUAAGCAAUGUUGUGUGUGGUCAGUAUCAGGGCAAUCCACCAUGCUACUGGCU